AUGCCCGCUGUCAGCAUUUUCUGGCUUAUUAGUGACCACAGGAAACAGCAUAAAAAUGUCAGGCAGAAAAAUAAAAAUAAAAAAGGCUACUUAAUAUUGUCAAUUCAUCAAAUUUCUGUUUUGGCAGAUGACACCUUUAUAAAUGGAAAUGGCAGUACAGUCUUUUUCAGCAUGGAAGAGUCCCAUAGAGAGGUUCCUCACUUCCUUUGCUUCUCCUGUCUGCUUUUGGGAACAUUCUUUGCUCAGGUAAAUAGUAGAGAGAAAAUGCUGAGUUGAAAUAGAAUUUUUAUCUUUUAGUUCAUAAGUAACUUUUUGCAACUUUGAGUAACAUGGA
RNAcentral lists this long non-coding RNA (334 nucleotides) under Capra hircus (goat). Its description in RNAcentral is "lncRNA (ENSCHIG00010021250.1)". The record is from RNAcentral. Lineage: Eukaryota; Metazoa; Chordata; Mammalia; Artiodactyla; Bovidae.